ACGAACUUUCUCUUUCCUCAUCUUACCGUGUGUGUCUGUGUCGUUUUCUCGGACAGCACCGCCUCUCAUUGCGCCCUUGCCCUCUUUCCUCACACUAUUGUCCAUCGUUUCCAUUCAGUCCUUUCCAUUGGCGAGCCUUAGCCGCCGAAGGCACGCCCGUCUUCCUCCAGUGGACGACGAAACUCGAACACACGCGUGAUAGCCGCUUGGUGUUCUCUCUCUCUCUCUCGGGCCGCACGCACAGCAAGCCUGCUCAUCGGCUCCUCCGCCCUCCCUCUCCCCCUUCUUUCCCGUUCCACAACACAGCACGCACGAAUGGGCCUCACACCAGUUGAGAGGGCGUCGCAUUACGCGACGCGCAGCCCUCGGUUUGCCAAGAUCACAUCGAAGCACUUGAGCUACUUCCACAGCGUGCUGGAAAAGCCCUGCAGCGCCUCGAAGCGAAAGGGCAAGAUACUGACUGAUACGGAGGCGAUCGCGCCAUUCAAUGUAGACUGGAUGCGCCAAGUGCAAGGUGCCACCCCGGCUGUGCUGAUGCCAACCUGCGCCACUCACGUCAGCGAGAUUCUGAAGUACUGCCAAGCGGAGAAGUUGGCGGUAGUGCCGCAGAGCGGCAAUACGAGCAUGGUCUACGGCGCGGAGCCGGUGCACGAUGAGCUGGUCCUUAGCACGCAUCUGAUGAAUGCGACGCCCGUGGUGUCCAAGAACACGAUGUCAGUGGAAGCCGAGUCUGGUGUCAUCCUCCAGCAGUGCCAGGAGGCGUGCGCGAAGGAAGGGCUGCUCUUUCCACUCAUGAUGGGCUCGAAGGGAAGCUCGAUGAUUGGCGGCAAUGUUAGUACCAACGCCGGUGGCAUCCAUUUCGCACGCUACGGCUCCAUGCACUCGAACGUGCUCGGCGUGGAGGUGGUGACGGCAAAGGGCGACAUCUUGAAUAUGAUGUCGACGCUGCGCAAGGACAACGCCGGCUACGACCUGAAGCACCUGUUUAUAGGCAGCGAAGGCACCCUGGGUGUUGUGACCCGCGCGGCCAUCAAGCUCUACCCGCAACCCACGUCGAAGCAGCUGGCCAUGUUCCGCCUGAAGGACUUCGAGUCUGUGCUGGAGCUCUACCACCUGGCGAACAACCACCUCGCCGAAUGCUUGUCGGCGUUCGAGGUGAUGGACGGGGAGUCGAUGACGACUAGCCCAGCGAAGGAGGUGCCGUACGAGCGCACGUACAAGAACGACGUGUUCUGCGGCGGCAAGGACUUCACUUCUGCCUACUUCUGCGUUCUUGUGGAGACGCAUGGCAGCAACGAAAAGCACGACUUCGACAAGCUCUCCGAAUUUGUUGAGGCAGCUCAGGCGAAGCUUGGCGACAAGCUGAGUGGCGGUGGCCAGUACGAGCCCAUCCUCUCGCAAUCCGCUGCCCAGACGGAGCAGCUGUGGGCGCUGCGUGAGGGCAUCCCAGUGCACCUGGCGAGCGGCGGACUUAUCUACAAGUACGACGUGUCAUUCCCUAUUGACAAGUUCUACGGCGUCGUCGAGCACACGCGCGAGAUUCUGUACAAGCACCACAAGAUGGACCCGGCCGAGGUGAUCGUUGUCGGCUACGGGCACUUUGGCGACGGCAACGUGCAUCUGAACGUGGUGGACUUGACCCGCUCGCACGGCGAGCAGCUUGACGCGGCGCUGUACCCGGCCGUGUACGAGUACUGCGCCGCGCACGCCGGCAGCAUCUCGGCCGAGCACGGCGUGGGUAUGCAGAAGCGCGACUACCUACAUCUCUCCCGCACAAGCGAGGUGAUUCGACUCAUGACGGACGUUAAGGCGAUGAUGGACCCGAACGGCAUCUUGAAUCCAUAUAAGGUGUUGCCGCUGGAGCAAGAAAAAUAAAGCGAAGGGAGCCGGGGAGAGGGAUAGGUAGCGCGCGUGAUGCCGUAAUUCGAAACGGACGCUGCUGUUGAUCGCUUCCUGCUCGCCGCCUCUGACUGCGUCGCGCUGUGCGUGUUUGGGUGUCGUUUCCGCAGUCCUCCCCCGCUAUGGUCUCCGGUGAGGUGCCGUCAAGUGUCAUCGUGUCCUUUCUCCUCUAUCUCUGAGCGCAGAGCCGACCAGCAGGGACAUGACCGCCACGUAUGUGUUUUGUGUGUGGGUGCGUGUGUUCUAGGCCCUCCUACGCCAACGACGAGCCGGUCUUCGCCUUUGCACUGCUCGGCCCUGACAGUUUCUCGCGCCUUUUUGCUCGCUACCUGCUCCCCAUGACACGGGGGACACCUCAGCGUGUGGUAUCGCGUGGACCGGUAGCCCCACACUGUGUGUGUGUGCGGGAAGUCAUGCAGCCCCCCAUCCUCUCGCUAUCCCCUGCCGAUGCCGAGCCACCUUCCGGUGGUGACAGUUUCAAGCCCCGGACGGCGGCGCGUCGGAGCGACCUGCGCCAGCGCACACGUCUGUACCGUCCAGAUGAUGGGCAGCGUGCCAGCGUGGCUGGCGCGUAUCCCGCCCCCCGCCCUCGCACUGCCCACUGGUGCGGGGCCGGCGUGCCACCGCGUACGGGCUGCACCACGUGGGUGGCGACUGGUGGCACGAUGGGAGCGGCUGCGCGGCGGCCUGCGAGGCAGCGGGUGCUGUGUAGAGUUUGAGGCAGAGGCGGCGCUGGGCGGACUGAGUCGGCGCACUGCUGUACCGCGUGUGCGCCUACGGCUGCAGUGCAGGAGGCGAUGGGGGCCUGUGGCAGGCCGGCGGGCGGGCGGCGGCUCGGGCGUGGCGUUGGCCGCACGCUUGUCUGGGCAGCGAGUGGGUGCGCUGAGGACGCGGAAAAUGCCUUUGCGAGAUCUCAAGUCGGAGUAGGGAGAGGGUUUGCGCGAUGGAGAGCUGCAGGCGAAGCGGGUGUAGAUGCGGAUGCGUGUCUGCUCACAGGCAGCAGGUUGCCGAGUAAAGAGUCAAGAAGCGUAGGUUAAGAAGACGAAGAGCAACAGCAGCAUAAACAGUGCGUCCAUGGACCAGAGACACGGUGCGCCUCUGAUGUGGGAAAGGUGCGGAGCGAUUCGGCUCUCUUUUCAGGGCCAUUGACAACGGAGGCCAUGCGCCUGCUCCCCGUGCAUUAUGUUAUCCGCCAGUGUAGGCAUGCCUGCAUACUUUUCGAUGAUGUGAGAAGGAAGACCGAGCCGACAUGCACCUCUGCACUCGCCGCCUUCCUCAGCACGGGGGGGGGCGGAGGCGAAUUCGGGAGGGGGG
This 3213-nucleotide unclassified non-coding RNA is filed under the name Leishmania donovani. Its description in RNAcentral is "gene:LdHU3.23.1330(CDS-product:actin_interacting_ protein-like_protein)". The record is from RNAcentral. Lineage: Eukaryota; Euglenozoa; Kinetoplastea; Trypanosomatida; Trypanosomatidae.